CUGGAAACGGUCGCUAAUACCGCAUAAUGUCUUUUAGUAGGGAUACUGGAAGAAGAAAACUCUGGUGCUUCAGGAGGGGUCUGCGUCCGAUUAGCUAGUUGGUGAGGUAAAGGCUCACCAAGGCGACGAUCGGUAGCUGGUCUGAGAGGACGAUCAGCCACACGGGAACUGAGACACGGUCCCGACUCCUACGGGGGGCAGCAGUGAGGAAUAUUGCCCAAUGGGGGAAACCCUGAGGCAGCAACGCCGCGUGGAGGAAGAAGGUCUUUACGAUCGUAAACUUCUUUUGUGAGGGAAGAGGAAGGACGGUACCUCAUGAAUAAGUCACGGCUAACUACGUGCCAGCAGCCGCGGUAAUACGUAGGUGACGAGCGUUAUCCGGAAUUACUGGGCGUAAAGCGUACGCAGGCGGCAUGGUAAGUCUGACGUGAAAUCUCCUGGCUUAACUGGGAGAGGUCGUUGGAGACUGCUGUGCUUGAGACAAUGAGAGG
Molecule: ribosomal RNA, 491 nt
Filed under: uncultured bacterium
Lineage: Bacteria
Description: bacterial SSU rRNA
Rfam family: Bacterial small subunit ribosomal RNA
Source: RNAcentral